Molecule: long non-coding RNA, 2267 nt
Filed under: Nicotiana tabacum (common tobacco)
Lineage: Eukaryota; Viridiplantae; Streptophyta; Magnoliopsida; Solanales; Solanaceae
Description: long non-coding RNA (NTAB_LNC011301)
Source: RNAcentral
UAAAACUCUAGACUUAGACUUAAAAGCAACCCUAAGAGUCCUAAAGAGGCUUCAACCGUUUUCAUCAUAGAGGACACCCCCCUGAACUUCUUCUUCUACAGACCCCAAAAAACGAAAAGAACUGAGACCAAAAAAGUUCCAGCACUGCUCGUCUUCUACAGACGCACACAACCAUCAAUCCUUAGCUCCCAAUCAAGCCAACCAUUUCUCUGAUUUCAAAGAGACCGAAAAAACCUAACACAAAAAGAAUUCUCCAUCUCCAACCUAGAAGAACCACAAAAGAACGACCUCUCAUCUGACCUUUGAUUCUUCUUCAACAAUCGGCCGUACACACACGAAAAUGCACAGAAGCAGAUGAAAAAUGAACAAAAAAACAGAUCUGAAAAUAGAGCAAGUAAUAGAGAAACGAAGGAAGGGAACGAACAUGAUUUUUAUAUUCUGAUUCCGGAUUCAAAUCCUUUUGAGUUUCGUUUCAAAUUUUAGCUUUCUUUUUUUGAUUUCUGAUUUCGGAACCAUGGAAUUCAAUAAAGUUUGAGGGUGGUCGGGUUUCGUUUCAGUUGUUGGAGUCGAUAAUAUCUUUCGAAAAAAAGGGUUCGACAAAGAAAAUUUUCUAUCGUGUUCCGGUCUAGCUUGAGUUCCGGCGAGUUCACGUUUGUUGCCGUUUAUUGGCUUCUGUCCGUGGUUCCAUUUCGAGUUCCUGUUCCAGCCCGUUCCACAGUUUUUUGCUCGAAUACUUAAAAAGCUCAGGUUCAUUUUGAGAUCCAGUCUUAAACUCUAGUUCUUUUAUUUCUUCUCUUAUGUGAAUAUACCGUGUUAGUUUAUUAUUGCAUUUUAGUUGAUAUUAUGUGAGGAUUUGUAGUGUUUACUUCAAAUUUGUUUGAGUUGGUUCUUUGUUUUGAAUUUUAUUAUUAUAAAGUAGUUGAAGUCACGUUAUGCUAAUACAAACAUAUGUUGAAGAACAAAUUUAUUUAAUGUGGGAAUAGAUAUAGUUCAAAUGUCCUUUUAAUAUGUGUUGCAAUGUCUCGUUUAAAUUGGUCUGUGGAUUUGUUCUAACUUCAAAUAAGACGACUAUUAGUUGAAUUGAGAAAAAUAGGCCAACAAAUCAACUGAUAAUAGGAUUAAGUGGGCAGUGGGCUUUUGGACUAAAAUUUCAAAGAGUUUGGACUCAAGACAAUUUCGUAACUCCUCGUUCUUGCUUUUGGGUUGAAUCGUUAGGAACGUGUUUUAGGACGAUCACAUUUGGGUAGGUAAACUUUUUAAGCGCAUAAAUAAAAUUAUCAUAGCUGCGGGUACAAAUCCCGUGAUGUAGUUGUGAUACAUAAUUUCUAAAUCCAGGGGUACAUUUAUAUAACCCGGCCACAACUUUUAAUGAUGUUAAUAAAUUAAACGUGUUGUAAAUCGUGGGUACAGUUCCCGUGAUACGUCGCAAUAUGUACCAAACAAAUAAUUGUACGACAAUCGUAACUUGUUCGAGAAUAAUUCCAUAACUAAUUAAAAGUGAUAACUAGGGAUUAUGAUGUAUUUUGCACUCCUUCUUGCUUAAGGUUUGAUUAGAAAUGUGUACAAAAUAGUCCCAAAGGUUCACAAGUUGUGCUUGAUUGUAGGUUUGAUCAACAAGGAGACAAGGUGUCAAAAACCAGCUCAAAAAGGAGUGAAAUUUACACAGGUACCAAGACAAGACCAAGCUCAGUCAAACAGGGCUAGUGCAGCCGCACACCAUUUUGUGCGGUCCACAUAGAUGAAGUUCAGAGAGUAUAUAUUUUCAGGCAACCAGGCAAUGCGGCCACAAAGGGUUUUGUGCGGUCCGAAUUGGGUUCAUUGCGGCCGCACUCGAUUUCGUGAGGACCACAUUGCCCGAGAUCAGAGAGUUGUUAGAUUUGAGGAUGAAGCCCAAUGCGGUCCGCGGUCCAUUUUGUGCUAACCGCAAUAGAAGCCACCGCGACCGCACUCGACUUUGUACGAUCCACAAAGCCCAAGUUUAGAGAGCAGAUUAAUCAAGCCAAGAGCCUUAGUGAGGCCGCACUCGAUUUUGUGCGGUCCGCACUAGCCCCGCAUGGGUAUUUCUGUCCAGAAUUUUCAGCCUAGUAUAAAUAGUUUCUUUUCCCAUUUUUAGGUCAUCUGAUAGAUUUUGGGACAGAGUUGCGCUUGUGACUUCUUCUCUUUUAUCAUUUUGAGUAAUUUUAGCUUAGUUUCAACAUUGAAUCUUCAAGUUUUAUUUAGUAAUUAAUUAUUAUGGGCUUUUCUUCAUCUAUUUCUUUAUUUUCUUC